RNAcentral lists this ribosomal RNA (497 nucleotides) under uncultured bacterium. RNAcentral's name for it is "partial 16S ribosomal RNA". It matches the Rfam family "Bacterial small subunit ribosomal RNA", at positions 28 to 507 of the family's 1533-position model. The record is from RNAcentral.
GAUGAACGCUGGCGGCGUGCCUAAUACAUGCAAGUCGAGCGGACAGGCGAGGCGCUUGUUCCUCUGACGUUAGCGGCGGACGGGUGAGUAACACGUGGAUAACCUACCUGUAAGACGGGGAUAACUACGGGAAACCGGAGCUAAUACCGGAUAAUAUAUUGCACCGCAUGGUUCAAUAGUGAAAGACGGUUUUGCUGUAACGUCUAGAUGGAUCCCGGCCGCAUUAGAUAGUUGGUAAGGUAACGGCUUACUAAGGCUACGAUGCGUAGCCGAACUGAGGGAGUGGUCGGCCACCUUGGAGCUUAGACGCCGUCCAGACGCCUGCGAGAGGCAGCAGUAGGGAAUCUGCCGCAGCGGGCGAAAGCCUGACGGAGCAACGCCGCGUGAGUGAUGACAGUCUUCGGAUCGUAAUACUCUGUUAUUAGUGAAGAACAAAUGUGUAAGUAACUAUGCACGUCUUGACGGUAACUAAUCAGAAAGCCACGGCUAACUACGUG